CCUACGGGUGGCAGCAGUAGGGAAUAUUGCACAAUGGGGGAAACCCUGAUGCAGCAACGCCGCGUGCGUGAUGAAGUUUUUCGGAUUGUAAAGUGCUAUUAUAAGGGAAGAUGAUGACGGUAUCUGACUAAUAAGCCCCGGCUAACUCCGUGCCAGCAGCCGCGGUAAUACGUAGGGGGCAAGCGUUACACGGAAUGACUGGGUGUAAAGGGUGCGGAGACGGGUGUGUAAGUGUGAUGUGAAAGCCUGUGGCUCAAAAACGGGACUGCAUUGGAAACUACGAGACUGGAGGGUGGGAGAGGUAGGUGGAAUUCCUAGUGGAGGGGGAAAAUUCGUAGAUAUUAAGAAGAA
This 351-nucleotide ribosomal RNA is filed under the name uncultured bacterium. RNAcentral's name for it is "partial 16S ribosomal RNA". It matches the Rfam family "Bacterial small subunit ribosomal RNA", at positions 338 to 706 of the family's 1533-position model. The record is from RNAcentral.